Molecule: ribosomal RNA, 905 nt
Filed under: uncultured bacterium
Lineage: Bacteria
Description: bacterial SSU rRNA
Rfam family: Bacterial small subunit ribosomal RNA
Source: RNAcentral
AGGAUGAACGCUAGCUACAGGCUUAACACAUGCAAGUCGAGGGGCAGCAUCAUCAAAGCUUGCUUUGAUGGAUGGCGACCGGCGCACGGGUGAGUAACACGUAUCCAACCUGCCGACAACACUGGGAUAGCCUUUCGAAAGAAAGAUUAAUACCGGAUGGCAUAAUUAUUCCGCAUGGGAUAAUUAUUAAAGAAUUUCGGUUGUCGAUGGGGAUGCGUUCCAUUAGGCAGUUGGCGGGGUAACGGCCCACCAAACCUACGAUGGAUAGGGGUUCUGAGAGGAAGGUCCCCCACAUUGGAACUGAGACACGGUCCAAACUCCUACGGGAGGCAGCAGUGAGGAAUAUUGGUCAAUGGACGAGAGUCUGAACCAGCCAAGUAGCGUGAAGGAUGACUGCCCUAUGGGUUGUAAACUUCUUUUAUACGGGAAUAAAGUGAGCCACGUGUGGCUUUUUGUAUGUACCGUAUGAAUAAGGAUCGGCUAACUCCGUGCCAGCAGCCGCGGUAAUACGGAGGAUUCGAGCGUUAUCCGGAUUUAUUGGGUUUAAAGGGAGCGUAGGCGGGUUGUUAAGUCAGUUGUGAAAGUUUGCGGCUCAACCGUAAAAUUGCAGUUGAUACUGGCGACCUUGAGUGCAACAGAGGUAGGCGGAAUUCGUGGUGUAGCGGUGAAAUGCUUAGAUAUCACGAAGAACUCCGAUUGCGAAGGCAGCUUACUGGAUUGUAACUGACGCUGAUGCUCGAAAGUGUGGGUAUCAAACAGGAUUAGAUACCCUGGUAGUCCACACAGUAAACGAUGAAUACUCGCUGUUGGCGAUAUACAGUCAGCGGCCAAGCGAAAGCAUUAAGUAUUCCACCUGGGGAGUACGCCGGCAACGGUGAAACUCAAAGGAAUUGACGGAAGGGCGA